CGUUCCCGGGCCUUGUACACACCGCCCGUCACACCAUGGGAGUCGAUUGCUCCAGAAGUCACUUCACCAAGAGGUGCCAAGGAGUGGUCGGUAACUGGGGUGAAGUCGUAACAAGGUACCC
Molecule: ribosomal RNA, 121 nt
Filed under: uncultured bacterium
Lineage: Bacteria
Description: partial 16S ribosomal RNA
Rfam family: Bacterial small subunit ribosomal RNA
Source: RNAcentral